Molecule: non-coding RNA, 30 nt
Filed under: Rattus norvegicus (Norway rat)
Lineage: Eukaryota; Metazoa; Chordata; Mammalia; Rodentia; Muridae
Source: RNAcentral
UCUGCUAACCUGUCAACCAAAGUUGGAGAA